Molecule: ribosomal RNA, 253 nt
Filed under: uncultured bacterium
Lineage: Bacteria
Description: partial 16S ribosomal RNA
Rfam family: Bacterial small subunit ribosomal RNA
Source: RNAcentral
UACGGGGGGAGCAAGCGUUGUUCGGAUUCAUUGGGCGUAAAGGGUGCGUAGGCGGCGCGGUAAGUCGGGUGUGAAAUCUUGGAGCUUAACUCCGAAACUGCAUUCGAUACUGCCGUGCUUGAGGACUGGAGAGGAGACUGGAAUUUACGGUGUAGCGGUGAAAUGCGUAGAUAUCGUAAGGAAGACCAGUGGCGAAGGCGGGUCUCUGGACAACUCCUGACACUGAGGCACGAAAGCUAGGGGAGCAAACAGG